This 301-nucleotide ribosomal RNA is filed under the name uncultured bacterium. RNAcentral describes it as "partial 16S ribosomal RNA". It matches the Rfam family "Bacterial small subunit ribosomal RNA", at positions 509 to 809 of the family's 1533-position model. The record is from RNAcentral.
CAGCAGCCACGGUAACACGAAGGGGGCUAGCGUUGUUCGGAAUUACUGGGCGUAAAGCGCACGUAGGCGGACAUUUAAGUCAGGGGUGAAAUCCCGGGGCUCAACCCCGGAACUGCCUUUGAUACUGGGUGUCUAGAGUAUGGAAGAGGUGAGUGGAAUUCCGAGUGUAGAGGUGAAAUUCGUAGAUAUUCGGAGGAACAUCAGUGGCGAAGGCGGCCAUCUGGGACAACACUGACGCUGAGGCACGAAAGCGUGGGGAGCAAACAGGAUUAGAUACCCCGGUAGUCCCUGUCUCUUAUAA